RNAcentral lists this small nuclear RNA (108 nucleotides) under Mus spicilegus (steppe mouse). The record is from RNAcentral. Lineage: Eukaryota; Metazoa; Chordata; Mammalia; Rodentia; Muridae.
GUGCUCGCUUCAGCAGCACAUAUACUAAAAUUGGAACGAUACAGAGAAGAUUAGCAUGGCCCCAUGAGCAAGAAUGACACUCAAAUUUGUGAAGCGUUCCAUAUUUUU